GAUGAAGAACGUAGUGAAAUGCGAUAAGUAGUGUGAAUUGCAGAAUUCAGUGAAUCAUCGAAUCUUUGAACGCACAUUGCGCCCUUUGGUAUUCCAAAGGGCAUGCCUGUUCGAGCGUCAUUUGUACCCUCAAGCUUUGCUUGGUGUUGGGCGUCUUGUCUCUAGCUUUGCUGGAGACUCGCCUUAAAGUAAUUGGCAGCCGGCCUACUGGUUUCGGAGCGCAGCACAAGUCGCACUCUCUAUCAGCAAAGGUCUAGCAUCCAUUAAGCCUUUUUUUCAUCUUUUGACCUCGGAUCAGGUAGGGAUACCCGCUGAACUUAAGCAUAUCAAUAAGCGGAGGA
Molecule: unclassified non-coding RNA, 341 nt
Filed under: soil metagenome
Description: partial contains 5.8S ribosomal RNA, internal transcribed spacer 2, and large subunit ribosomal RNA
Rfam family: 5.8S ribosomal RNA (bases 1-120)
Source: RNAcentral